Non-coding RNA from Cinara cedri, 423 nucleotides. The record is from the annotation of a GenBank genome assembly. Lineage: Eukaryota; Metazoa; Arthropoda; Insecta; Hemiptera; Aphididae.
CAGUAGGCACGAGAAAACGUGGUUUUUAUUUCGAACAAAAGAUAAAACGAGAAAAACAAUAUAAUAACGGGGGGGAUAGAAAAAAAAAAAAGAACAAAAAAAAGGCUGUGCGUGAAACUAACAUAAAUCGUCGUUUUCAAAAAGUUCGAAAAUCGUUACACGGUAUCGGAGCGAUACGCGCCCUUUGAAGUGAAUAAGAAUUAAUAAACAGUGUUGAUAAUUGUCGACGACAUUGUUUCGUAUUGUAAUAUUAGAUUAGACGGUAAAUAUAACUAAAUUUCAGUAUUAUAAUAAUAAUAAUAAUAAUAAUAAUAAUAUGCUGUUAUCUGCGCAUUUCUUUUGCAUUAUUGUUUUCGCAGUACAUUUCUGCGGAAAAUGUUAUCGUUUAUUUUUUUAAGAAUAAAAAAAAAAAAAAAAAAAAAA